This 850-nucleotide ribosomal RNA is filed under the name Halobacillus sp. RNAcentral's name for it is "bacterial SSU rRNA". It matches the Rfam family "Bacterial small subunit ribosomal RNA", at positions 26 to 867 of the family's 1533-position model. The record is from RNAcentral. Lineage: Bacteria; Bacillati; Bacillota; Bacilli; Caryophanales; Bacillaceae.
GGGCAAAGGUCGAGCGGCAGGAAGCAAGCUGAUCCCCUUCGGGGGUGACGCUUGUGGAAUGAGCGGCGGACGGGUGAGUAACACGUGGGCAACCUGCCUGUAAGACCGGAAUAACCCCGGGAAACCGGGGCUAAUGCCGGGUAACACCUUCCCUCGCAUGAGGGAGGGUUAAAAGAUGGCUUCUCGCUAUCACUUACAGAUGGGCCCGCGGCGCAUUAGCUAGUUGGUGAGGUAACGGCUCACCAAGGCAACGAUGCGUAGCCGACCUGAGAGGGUGAUCGGCCACACUGGGACUGAGACACGGCCCAGACUCCUACGGGAGGCAGCAGUAGGGAAUCUUCCGCAAUGGACGAAAGUCUGACGGAGCAACGCCGCGUGAACGAUGAAGGUCUUCGGAUCGUAAAGUUCUGUUGUUAGGGAAGAACAAGUGCCGUGCGAAUAGAGCGGCACCUUGACGGUACCUAACGAGGAAGCCCCGGCUAACUACGUGCCAGCAGCCGCGGUAAUACGUAGGGGGCAAGCGUUGUCCGGAAUUAUUGGGCGUAAAGCGCGCGCAGGCGGUUCCUUAAGUCUGAUGUGAAAGCCCACGGCUCAACCGUGGAGGGUCAUUGGAAACUGGGGAACUUGAGGACAGAAGAGGAGAGUGGAAUUCCACGUGUAGCGGUGAAAUGCGUAGAUAUGUGGAGGAACACCAGUGGCGAAGGCGACUCUCUGGUCUGUUUCUGACGCUGAGGUGCGAAAGCGUGGGUAGCAAACAGGAUUAGAUACCCUGGUAGUCCACGCCGUAACGAUGAGUGCUAGGUGUUAGGGGGCUUCCACCCCUUAGUGCUGAAGUUAACGCAUUAAGCAC